CUAAUGUGUCAGAAACAAUGUAUUAAAUUUAAGAUUUAAAUAUGAAAUUUCAUUAUUCCUUUAGUAA
RNAcentral lists this transfer RNA (67 nucleotides) under Cacopsylla citrisuga. RNAcentral's name for it is "tRNA-Leu". The record is from RNAcentral. Lineage: Eukaryota; Metazoa; Arthropoda; Insecta; Hemiptera; Psyllidae.